GGGCCUGUUGCACAAAAGUAGAAUUAAGACAUCCAGGCUAAAUGACUGAGCUGAGCUCAAUGAAGCCAAAACAAGUGCGUCCACGCUUAAUUGGUUGCACAAAGACCAAGCCAGGAUGAUCAGACACGGAUUCAUCAAGCCAGGUGAAACCAAUCCUGGAUAGGUGCGCGCUCACGGCUCACUCAACUAGACCCCGCCACCGAUCACAGAUUCACAGAUUCACCAUGGCAACUAGCGGCGUUCUUUUCCCCGUCAGAGGCACAAAUCCAUACGAGGAGGUAAAAGACAUAAUUAAGAAGAAAGGCAACACCGCCACAGUGGUAAAGCAGAGAGAAAAAGCGUGGCAAAGUAUUGCAGACCGCCUGAAUGCGUCAUUUUGCUCAUCAAGAAAAUGCAUCUUAAUUGAAGAAUUUUUUGAUAUUUUUACUGAAAACAAGACAACAAUACAAAGUAAGUCAUUUUUUGCAGUGUGACUCCAUUGAAUGUUCUUGUGUGUUAAAGAAAGUCUCUCUUUUUGUGUGUGGUGUUGUGUGAUGUAGAUUAAAUAUGACCGGGCCAAAACGGACAUGGCAGCAGGUCAAAAUCAAAAUCUGCAGAAUGCAGUGAAAAAGAAUACCCAGAGACAAGGCACGGGUGGUGGGUCACCAAAAGCUGACCUCACCCCAGCAGAGGCCAGCUUUGGAGCUAAAUAAAGGCAGGCCUGUUGGAGGGGAUCCCUGGGGGAAAAGAGACAAGCAUAGGUCCCUCACAAGAUGCCACCCGCUUCAUACAAGUGUCUGGCAGCACUGUGUUACUGUUAAAGCCACCAGCAUGAGCACCAGACGAUGCUGAUCCAGUGAGUACUCCAUCAAAGGCAUACUGUAGGGGUGGCACGUCUUGUCUACUAGCUUCAAUAUGAAUCCGAUUAAAUGUGAUGGGGUCAAGGCCCCAUUUCAUCAGCACAUAACGGCGAUGAUGAUGAGGAGACCAUCUCGCUGGAUUCCAAAAGGCAUAAGGUAUCAUGUCAAACUUGUGAAAGUACUAUACAAAGGAGUCAUCAUUGGAAGCCAUCACAAAAUCUCAUUUCUUUUACAGGACCUAGAGUCAUUGGUGCACUGGACUGCACAAACAUAAGGAUAAAAGCCCCCUCAGGUGCCCAUGAGGCAGAUUUUGUAAAUAUGAAAUCUUUUUACAGCAUUAAUGUUCAGGUGAACAUAACUUUUUUAUCUUUUCCAUUGAACACUGGCAAAAUGGCCUGGCUCAGUCCAUGACUCCAGAAUCUUUUGGACCUCUGAAAUCUAUCAGCACCUAUCACAAGGUGAAUUCUCUGGUGUGUUGCUGGUAGACAGGGGUAAGGCUGCCAGCCGUUUUUCCUGACACCUUUCACAGACCCCCAGGAAGCACAGCAGGCCUACAACUAUGCCCAUGCUAGGGCCAGAGUUGAAAUGACCUUUGGCCUCCUGAAGGCACGCUCUCACUGCCUUCACAAAUUAAGGGUCAGCCCCGUGAGGGCAUGUGACAUUACUGUGGCUUGUGGUGUCCUGCACAAUGUGGCCUGCCUGAGGAAGGAGAGGGCACCCAGAGUGCCGCCAGCCAUGGACUGGGACAAUCCGGAAAUCUUCCCUGAUGACAACAGUGGUCGGCUGCUGAGGGACCAAUAUGUGUUGAAUUAUUUUAGUCAGUAUGUGUGCUUUCACAUUUUUUUAUGUUUGUGCUGUAUACUGUGUGUAUACUGUUUGUAAUACAAGCUUGCAGGGAGGCUACUGCAUCCAUUAAUUGUCUUGUUUUCAGUUGUCUGAAAUUGUCUGUUCAGUUAAUGUGCAUGAAUUUGUCCUGCAUUUAUUUCAGUGUGCAGACAUGCAGGGUGUGUUAUAUACAGACCUUUGAAUGUGUAUUUAUCCUUUGGUUGUAUAAUAUGCUUUGAUUCUGUGCUUUCCAUCUUGUAGAGUCACUGUGUGACUUCAGUUUCGAAAGGAGCUGAUGGUUUA
This is a non-coding RNA of Paramisgurnus dabryanus, 1967 nucleotides long. The record is from RefSeq and is a predicted model, not a curated record. NCBI's taxonomy places the organism in Eukaryota, Metazoa, Chordata, Actinopteri, Cypriniformes, Cobitidae.